RNAcentral lists this ribosomal RNA (279 nucleotides) under uncultured bacterium. RNAcentral describes it as "partial 16S ribosomal RNA". It matches the Rfam family "Bacterial small subunit ribosomal RNA", at positions 506 to 784 of the family's 1533-position model. The record is from RNAcentral.
UGCCAGCCGCCGCGGUAAUACGGAGACUGCGAGCGUUACUCGGAUUUACUGGGCGUAAAGGGUCCGUAGGCGGCCAUGUGUGUCGGGUGUGAAAUCCUGCAGCUCAACUGCAGAACUGCGCUCGAAACUACAUGGCUAGAGUAUCGGAGAGGUGAGCAGAAUUCCAGGUGUAGCGGUGAAAUGCGUAGAUAUCUGGAGGAAUACCAACGGCGAAGGCAGCUCACUGGACGAUUACUGACGCUGAGGGACGAAAGCGUGGGGAGCGAAAGGGAUUAGAUA